This is a long non-coding RNA of Carassius carassius (crucian carp), 385 nucleotides long. RefSeq lists it as uncharacterized. The record is from RefSeq and is a predicted model, not a curated record. NCBI's taxonomy places the organism in Eukaryota, Metazoa, Chordata, Actinopteri, Cypriniformes, Cyprinidae. The transcript is spliced from 3 exons.
UAAAAAAAAACAAGAAGACAGCACGUGAACUAUGCACGUGAUUUAGGGUGCGCGCCUCAAAGCUCUUCCCGCGUUAUUCAGCCUAACCAUGUGCCGUGCAGAAUACACGUCUAGAUUAGUUGCAAGAGAAGAUUUGCUUAAGUUCAACUGCCGGGCGACGUCAGUGGAGAACACCUUGGAGCAAAUCCUCCAUACUGUUUUCUUCAUGCUCGGCCCGCCACUGAUGGAUAAUCUGUUCACCUUCAACAGUCUUUGUUCCAGCCUAUCUAGGUCUGCAGUAGAUGCUAGAGGAAAGACACCACCCUCUUCCUCUUCAGCCAUCUGCAUUUGGGGUACAAUACGCCUGUUCCCCACUAGAGACUGGACCAGUGAAGUCAGAUGGUUG